UACGUAGGGGGCGAGCGUUGUCCGGAUUCAUUGGGCGUAAAGAGCUCGUAGGCGGUUUGGUAAGUCGGGUGUGAAAACCCCAGGCUCAACCUGGGGACGCCACCUGAUACUGCUAUGACUUGAGUCUGGUAGGGGAUCACGGAAUUCCUGGUGUAGCGGUGAAAUGCGCAGAUAUCAGGAGGAACACCGGUGGCGAAGGCGGGUCUCUGGGCCGAAACUGACGCUGAGGAGCGAAAGCGUGGGGAGCAAACAGG
RNAcentral lists this ribosomal RNA (254 nucleotides) under uncultured bacterium. RNAcentral describes it as "partial 16S ribosomal RNA". It matches the Rfam family "Bacterial small subunit ribosomal RNA", at positions 524 to 776 of the family's 1533-position model. The record is from RNAcentral.